UUGGUGGCGACCGGCGCACGGGUGAGUAACGCGUAUGCAACCCACUUAUCAGAGGGGAAUAACCCGGCGAAAGUCGGACUAAUACCGCAUAAAACAGGGACACCGCAUGGUGAUAUUUGUUAAAGAAAUUCGCUGAUAGAUGGGCAUGCGUUCCAUUAGGUAGUUGGUGAGGUAACGGCUCACCAAGCCGACGAUGGAUAGGGGAACUGAGAGGUUGGUCCCCCACACUGGUACUGAGACACGGACCAGACUCCUACGGGAGGCAGCAGUGAGGAAUAUUGGUCAAUGGGCGAGAGCCUGAACCAGCCAAGUCGCGUGAAGGAAGAAGGAUCUAUGGUUCGUAAACUUCUUUUGCAGGGGAAUAAAGUGCAGGACGUGUCCUGUUUUGUAUGUACCCUGAGAAUAAGGAUCGGCUAACUCCGUGCCAGCAGCCGCGGUAAUACGGAGGAUCCGAGCGUUAUCCGGAUUUAUUGGGUUUAAAGGGUGCGUAGGUGGUUUGAUAAGUCAGCGGUGAAGGUUUGCAGCUUAACUGUAAAAAUGCCGUUGAAACUGUCGGACUUGAGUGUAAAUGAGGUAGGCGGAAUGCGUGGUGUAGCGGUGAAAUGCUUAGAUAUCACGAAGAACUCCGAUUG
RNAcentral lists this ribosomal RNA (632 nucleotides) under uncultured Bacteroidales bacterium. Its description in RNAcentral is "bacterial SSU rRNA". It matches the Rfam family "Bacterial small subunit ribosomal RNA", at positions 85 to 715 of the family's 1533-position model. The record is from RNAcentral. Lineage: Bacteria; Pseudomonadati; Bacteroidota; Bacteroidia; Bacteroidales.